This is an RNA transcript of Calidris pugnax (ruff), 3862 nucleotides long. It is a transcript of the gene named SPT20 homolog, SAGA complex component, with no coding region annotated. NCBI's taxonomy places the organism in Eukaryota, Metazoa, Chordata, Aves, Charadriiformes, Scolopacidae. The record is from RefSeq and is a predicted model, not a curated record. The transcript has 22 exons.
AAGCGGCCGGGGGCGCCGCGGUGGGCUGAGGCGGGGGCGGAUGAGCGGGCGGCGGGGGCGGCUGUGUGGGGCGCAGGGCCCCGCAGGAGGCCGGCAGAACCCCAAGUGUGACCAUAAAGUAUGAUUCUUUGCAUGUUGCACCAAACUUCUUAAGUCCUUCUUUUGCCAUUUGGUCACCUGGCUUCAACUACAAUGCAACAAGCUUUAGAACUGGCAUUGGAUCGUGCAGAGUACAUCAUUGAAAGUGCCCGUCAGAGACCUCCCAAAAGAAAAUAUUUAUCGAGUGGAAGAAAAUCUGUAUUUCAAAAACUCUAUGAUUUAUAUAUAGAAGAAUGUGAAAAAGAGCCUGAGAUAAAGCAGAAGCUGAGGCGAAAUGUGAAUUUACUUGAGAAGCUGGUUAUGCAGGAGACGUUGUCAUGUCUGGUAGUGAACCUCUAUCCGGGAAAUGAGGGUUAUUCACUUAUGCUCAGGGGAAAAAAUGGUUCAGAUUCUGAGACCAUUCGGCUGCCUUAUGAGGAAGGAGAGCUGCUUGAAUAUUUGGAUGCAGAGGAGCUACCGCCUAUUUUGGUUGAUCUUUUAGAAAAAUCUCAGGUUAAUAUUUUUCAUUGUGGAUGUGUCAUAGCAGAAAUACGUGACUAUAGGCAGUCUGGUAACAUGAAAUCUCCAACGUACCAAAGCAAGCACAUUCUUUUGCGUCCUACAAUGCAGACUUUAAUUUGUGAUGUGCAUUCUAUAACAAGUGACAACCACAAAUGGACGCAGGAGGACAAACUCCUACUUGAGAGCCAACUUAUUUUGGCUACAGCAGAGCCUUUGUGUCUUGAUCCUUCAAUAGCAGUGACCUGUACUACAAACAGACUCCUGUACAACAAGCAGAAGAUGAACACUCGCCCCAUGAAACGGUGCUUCAAAAGGUACUCAAGGUCAUCUCUGAACAGACAGCAGGAAGUAGCUCACUAUUCAACUCCACCUCAGCUCAGACUACUUGACUACUUACAGAAAAGAAAGGAGAGGAAAGGAGCCCAGCAGUAUGACCUCAAAAUUUCUAAAGCUGGAAAUUGCGUAGAUAUGUGGAAACAGAACCCGUGCUAUUUGACUGCACCUUCUGAAGUGGAUGUGGAAAAAUAUGCCAAAGUGGAGAAGUCUAUCAAGCCUGAUGACUCACAACCAACUGUCUGGCCAGCCCAUGAAAUAAAAGAUGAUUAUGUGUUUGAAUGUGAAGUUGGUAAUCAGCUUCAGAAAACAAAACUGACCAUUUUUCAGUCUCUUGGCAAUCCCUUGUAUUAUGGUAAAAUUCAGACACUCAAAGGUGAUGAGGAAAAUGACAACCUGUUAACUCCAUCACAGUUCCUUAUUGGUUCGAAGACUGAUGCUGAAAGAGUGGUGAACCAGUAUCAGGAGUUAGUACAAAGUGAAGCUAAAUGUCCUGUGAAAAUGUUUCAUAAUUCAGGUGGAUCAGUCAACCUUAGUCAUCUUUCUCCAGGGAAGGAAAUGGAACAGCCAGAAAGUAUAUCAGGCUCUGUUCAGUCUUCAGUAUUGGGGAAAGGUGUAAAACACCGACCUCCUCCCAUCAAAUUACCUUCAAGUUCAGGAAGUAGCUCUUCAGGUAAUAUUUUUAGUCCACAACAGUCAAGUGGCCAUCUAAAAUCCCCAACUCCUCCUCCUCCAUCUUCUAAGCCUCCUGGUCUUUCUCGGAAACAAUCUAUGGAUCUUAAUCAAGUUAGCAUGCUCUCCCCAGCUGCCAUGUCUCCUGCCAGCUCUUCACAAAGGUCUGGAACUCCUAAACCAUCUACUCCUACUCCAACCAACACCCCUUCAUCGACCCCACACCCUCCUGAUGCUCAGAGCUCAACUCCUAUUACCCCUUCUGCCACCCCUACUCCCCAAGAUUCAGGCUUCACCCCUCAACCCACUUUGUUAACCCCAUUUGCUCAGCAGCAAAUGUCUCUGAGCCAGGCACUGCCUGUAAUGACCAUUCCUCUUUCCACCAUGGUAACAUCCAUUACUACAGGAACAACCUCCACCCAGGUCAUGGCAAACCCUGCAGGACUUAACUUCAUCAAUGUAGUGGGCUCUGUGUGUGGAGCACAGUCACUGAUGAGUGGUUCAAACCCUAUGUUGGGGUGCAACACUGGUGCCAUAGCCCCUGCGGGUAUAAACCUGAGUGGCAUUUUACCAUCAGGAGGCCUGGUACCAAGUGCGCUGCCCGCUGCAAUGCAGUCUGCCUCUCAAGCAGACUGUCCAAUUUGCUUACAUCCUUCUUAAAAUGUGAUAACCAAAACUGGACACAAGCCUGAGCUUGGCUGAUUUACCACUGUGGAGCACAGCAGAAUAAAUGCAUCUCAUCUCUUUCACAACAUUCCUGUUAACAUUUCCUCAAAUGAGGUCUGCCUAUUUUUUUUAUUUGUAUUUUUCGCAACAGCAUUAUGUUAACCUAAGAAUGGCUUUACUGGUUUAGGCCAAAAAUCCGUCCAGUUUGUAUCUGUCUCCGACAGUCGCCAUAAGAGGAUACUUAGGAGAGAGUUUGAGAUGAGGCAAAAAUGUGAAGUGAAACAUCCCUUAUAUACAACUGUACCUCUUCUGGCAAUCCACAGCUUUGAGACUUUCUCAGCUGAAGACUAUCCACGUGGAUCUCUGUGCUUAAUAUCCUGUGCUAGACUUCUAGUCUGUGGAUUUAUCUAAUUGGUUUUUGAACCCAUUUAUAUUUUUGGCAUCUACGGCAUCUUGUGACAGUGAGUUUUAUAAAUGUGAACUGUGUGAACAGGUUCUUUUCUUUUGUGUGUUCUAUAGUUUGUGAUAUGGAUGACUUGGAUAUGUUUGUGACUUGCUGUAACUUCUCACGUCCUUUCUUGCUGUACAGACACAAAGCUAGUUACUCACAAUUUUGUACUCGUUCAUUUGUCUUUUUUAAUUCAAUGUUAUUGAUUUUUGGACUCUUUCUUCAAUUCCCUGGGAUUACUUUGAAUUCUAAUUCUGUCCUUUUGAGCACUAUCAACCUUUACCAGUUUGGUGUCACAUAUUUUUACAUGCACACAUCAGAGGUGGGAGUAGGGAGCUGAGCUAGGUCGGUGGCAGACCUCGGGGGGAUUCUGUUUGACAGCUGCUAUUUGACUGGAGUGUUUAUAUCUGUUCUAUACCCAACUCAUAGCAUACUACAUAUACAUCUUUUUUUAGUGUAGCUUUGAAGAGUGCCACGGGUAAUAGUGCCAAAAGCUCUCCAAGUCAGACAUACCUUGCCAGAAGCCCUUAGUGGGGUAGGCAGUUACUAAGAUUUGGGGUGGGAUUUUCUGUUUAACAAUUGAGAAAAUGAGAGCCUGUUACUUCAUUGAGCCCUUGGACAAUUCUGGAUUUACUGUACAAACAGUAAAACUUUUUAAAGCCAGAGGAAGAAUCACUGAAGAAUAACUGCUGCGAUAUUCUCCACAUUCACUUUGUGUAAAUGCAUGCCCAGGUUAUAGGUUACUGGAUACAGUGUUUAGUAGUGCAGUUUUCUUUCGUUUAGUCGGCUCUCUUUAGCUUUGAAUCUGGAUAACUAUGAACUUGUAAACAUUACAGAAAAUGCAGCACUGGAUUAAGUAUAAAAUUUAAACUUGCUAGUUUUCCAACUACUAAAAUGUUUAGAAAUUAUCCCAGUAGAAAGGUGUAUUAAUUGCAAUACACAUAUAUAAUUAAGUGAAGAGUUCCUACUAAUAAAAAGAUGUUUUCUUUAACAGGCAGCCACUUUGGUUUGAAAAAUGCAUCAAAUCUUCGGCCCUUAAAUCUUCUACAGGGGUCUGACCAAGGUCCAUCCAAUCAAGAUCAGGCAUUAUCUGCCCAACAAGCUGCUGUAAUUAACCUGACCGGGAAUUUUAUGCAACCUCAA